GAUGAAGAACGUAGCGAAAUGCGAUACUUGGUGUGAAUUGCAGAAUCCAGUGAACCAUCGAGUCUUUGAACGCAAGUUGCGCCCGAAGCCAUUAGGCCGAGGGCACGCCUGCCUGGGCGUCACACGUCGUUGCCCCCCCAUCUACUCCUUCGGGAUUGCGGGGGGCGGAUGAUGGCCUCUCGUGCGCCUCGUCGCGCGGUUGGCCUAAAUGCCAAGUCCUCGGCGACGCACGCCACGACAAUCGGUGGUUGCGAAACCUCGGUUGCCUGUCGUGUGCGGUCGUCGCGCAUCGAGGGCUAGAAAAAAUUGCCGGGCUUCGGCUCGACUUUCAACGCGACCCCAGGUCAGGCGGGGUUACCCGCUGAAUUUAAGCAUAUCAAUAAGCGGAGGA
Molecule: unclassified non-coding RNA, 391 nt
Filed under: soil metagenome
Description: partial contains 5.8S ribosomal RNA, internal transcribed spacer 2, and large subunit ribosomal RNA
Rfam family: 5.8S ribosomal RNA (bases 1-122)
Source: RNAcentral